Molecule: microRNA precursor, 354 nt
Filed under: Gossypium raimondii (Peruvian cotton)
Lineage: Eukaryota; Viridiplantae; Streptophyta; Magnoliopsida; Malvales; Malvaceae
Description: miR8697 stem-loop (gra-MIR8697)
Source: miRBase by way of RNAcentral
CAUUUUAUGCAGGGAAAUUGAUUCAAGUGAGCAUUGCUUUAAAAACAUUGUUUUACAUUUGUUUAGUAUAUAAAUUGAUCAUUUUUUUUUCUGGUUUAUUUAUCUUUCUUUCUCAUAAAACUUAAUAUCUAUGUAUGUAUUUUAUUGUAGCAUUUGGUGUUAUAAGUAUGUAUGAUGAGAGCCUAGGCUGAUCAAUGCCACUGCGAAAAAACCCUGCAUGCAUUUGAGCAACGUGAAAGAAAGACAAAAUAAACCCAAAAAAAAUAAGCAAUUUAUAUACUAAACAAAUGUAAAACAAUGUUUUUAAAGCACAUCAAAUAUGCUCACUUGAAUCAGUUUCCCUGCAAAAGAUGU